GACGAACGCUGGCGGCGUGCUUAACACAUGCAAGUCGAACGGAAAGGCCCUGCUUUUGCGGGGUGCUCGAGUGGCGAACGGGUGAGUAACACGUGAGUAACCUGCCCUUGACUUUGGGAUAACUUCAGGAAACUGGGGCUAAUACCGGAUAGGAGCUCCUGCUGCAUGGUGGGGGUUGGAAAGUUUCGGCGGUUGGGGAUGGACUCGCGGCUUAUCAGCUUGUUGGUGGGGUAGUUGCUUACCAAGGCUUUGACGGGUAGCCGGCCUGAGAGGGUGACCGGCCACAUUGGGACUGAGGUACGGACCAGACUCGUACGGGAGGCAGCAGUGGGGAGUAUUGCACAAUGAGCGGGAGCCUGAUGCAGCAACGCCGCGUGCGUAAAAACGGCCUUCGGGUUGUAAACCACUUUCGCAUGUGACAAAGCGUGAGUGACGGUAAUGGGUAAAGAAGCACCGGCUAACUACGUG
RNAcentral lists this ribosomal RNA (468 nucleotides) under uncultured bacterium. Its description in RNAcentral is "partial 16S ribosomal RNA". It matches the Rfam family "Bacterial small subunit ribosomal RNA", at positions 28 to 507 of the family's 1533-position model. The record is from RNAcentral.